This 460-nucleotide ribosomal RNA is filed under the name uncultured bacterium. Its description in RNAcentral is "partial 16S ribosomal RNA". It matches the Rfam family "Bacterial small subunit ribosomal RNA", at positions 338 to 795 of the family's 1533-position model. The record is from RNAcentral.
CCUACGGGUGGCAGCAGUGAGGAAUAUUGGUCAAUGGGCGAGAGCCUGAACCAGCCAAGUCGCGUGAAGGAUGACGGCCCUACGGGUUGUAAACUUCUUUUGUCUGGGAGUAAUUGGGUCCACGCGUGGGCUUAGCUAGAGUACCUGAAGAAAAAGCAUCGGUUAACUCCGUGCCAGCAGCCGCGGUAAUACGGGGGAUGCGAGCUUUAUCCGGUUUUUUUGGGUUUAAGGGGUGCGUGGGCGGAAGUUCAAGUCGGAGGGAAAAAUUAGGGGCCAAACCCCAUAGUGCAGUUGAAACUGGUGGUCUUGAGUGGGGGAGAGGUAGGCGGAAUUCGCGGUGUAGCAGUGAAAUGCGUAGAUAUCGAGAGGAACACUGGUGGCGAAGGCGGGUUACUGGACAUUAACUGACGCUGAGGCACGAAGGCGAGGGGAGCGAACGGGAUUAGAUACCCGUGUAGUC